UCUGCACGGAACGUUCCACUACUUCACGACGUGACGGUUACGUGCCGACUCACUCUCCAGGUCCCUUCAACUGACAUGCCCACGUGUCACGUCCCCGCACCUUCCGGAGCAGGCUCGGGACACCGACUCUUCACGACUUCGGCAGAAGGAAGCCUCGGUACCUCCCUGGCCCGAAGCUCCCGAGGCUUAGGGGGCUUAUUGAGGAUGCUCACCUCGGACACGCGGGUGUCCGAGGUGAACACAAGUCUCGUCCCUCAUCGGAGCUCAUCCCUGUCUUGAGCACAACCCCAGAGCUCGGCUUCAUCACUAGUCCACCGUGUAGGUGACCUCGGCACAUCCACCUCGGCUGCACGCUGAAAACAAGGGAUGAAGUCAAAGCAAGAAACAAAAAGCGCUGAGAUGAGAGGAAACAGACUUUCAUUUAACAGAAGUAUUACAAAAAUUACAAGGCCGAGGUCGGAGUGCUACUAAACACUUCACCUCGGCCACCCCCUUGAAGCCUACAAGCCUAAACCCCCGUAUCGGCUGCAUCCCCGGUCUUGGCUCCCUCCUGGGCAUCCAUCUUUUCGGCCUCCUUUCCGCCGGGGUGAACUUCAUCUCCAGGCUCUUUGCCGACGUCCCCUCCGGCUUCGUCUCCCCCGGCAUCCUCUCCAGUUUCUUCCUCUUCAACCCCCUCGAACACUUCGUCGAUUUCGGACAGCCAUUUGUUGAACUCGGCCUGGAUCUCGGCCAGGUCCCUUCCAGCCUGGAGGCCCUCAGCCAUCCGGUCGCACAACUCCUUGGAGUCCUCGUUGUAACUGACACUCUCUGCACGAAACGUUCCACUACUUCACGACGUGACAGUUACGUGCCGACUCACUCUCCAGGUCCCUUCAACUGACAUGCCCACGUGUCACGUCCCCGCACCUUCCGGAGCAGGCUCGGGACACCGACUCUUCACGACUUCGGCAUAAAGAAGCCUCGGUACCUCCCUGGCCCGAAGCUCCCGAGGCUUGGGGGGCUUAUUGAGGAUGCUCACCUCGGACACGCGGGUGUCCGAGGUGAACACAAGUCUCGUCCCUCAUCGGAGCUCAUCCCUGUCUUGAGCACAACCCCAGAGCUCGGCUUCA
RNAcentral lists this long non-coding RNA (1109 nucleotides) under Coffea arabica (coffee). Its description in RNAcentral is "long non-coding RNA (CARA_LNC007589)". Lineage: Eukaryota; Viridiplantae; Streptophyta; Magnoliopsida; Gentianales; Rubiaceae. The record is from RNAcentral.